This 397-nucleotide ribosomal RNA is filed under the name uncultured bacterium. RNAcentral's name for it is "partial 16S ribosomal RNA". It matches the Rfam family "Bacterial small subunit ribosomal RNA", at positions 523 to 918 of the family's 1533-position model. The record is from RNAcentral.
AUACGUAGGGGGCGAGCGUUGUCCGGAAUGAUUGGGCGUAAAGGGCGCGUAGGCGGCGCGGUAAGUCUGGAGUGAAAGUCCUGCUUUCAAGGUGGGAAUUGCUUUGGAUACUGCCGCGCUUGAGUGCAGGAGAGGUUAUCGGAAUUCCCGGUGUAGCGGUGAAAUGCGUAGAGAUCGGGAGGAACACCAGUGGCGAAGGCGGGUAACUGGACUGCAACUGACGCUGAGGCGCGAAAGUGUGGGGAGCAAACAGGAUUAGAUACCCUGGUAGUCCACGCGGUAAACGAUGAAUGCUAGGUGUUGCGGGUAUCGACCCCUGCAGUGCCGGAGUAAACACAAUAAGCAUUCCGCCUGGGGAGUACGGCCGCAAGGUUGAAACUCAAAUGAAUUGACGGGG